RNAcentral lists this transfer RNA (69 nucleotides) under Heteropternis respondens. RNAcentral's name for it is "tRNA-Met". Lineage: Eukaryota; Metazoa; Arthropoda; Insecta; Orthoptera; Acrididae. The record is from RNAcentral.
AAAAAGGUAAGCUAAAUAAGCUAAUGGGUUCAUACCCCAUUUAUGGAGGCAUUAAUCCUCCCCUUUUUA